UUUUAUUUUAUUUUAUUUUAUAUCACAGAAUAUUUAGGGUUGGAAGGGACCUCUGGAGACCAUCCAGUGCUACCAGGAUCACUUAAAGCAGAAAAUAGGACUGCUGUUCGUGACAAGCACAUGAUUUACAAAAUGAAGAGUAAAGAAUCGUGUCAGCUAGAGAGAGAGAAGGAAGAUGAAAAAAGCACAGGAAUACACAGGAGGGAAAAAGAAGCAGCAAGAACAUUGUGUUCAUUAGCCACAGACCCAAAUUAGCUUUGGAAAGAGAUCUGGAAAUUAUAUUAUGCUAUGAAAGCAUCAGGGUGAUUGUGACACCGUCCUGCAUGAGCUGCAUUUUCCACCUGGAUGCCAUCACCUGGGAGUGCUGAGGCCCAGCUGCACAGGUGACAUCCCUGUGAGAGGAACACACAGUUCCUCCUCAAGUACUUCCUCCAGCAGAUAAAAGACACCACGACUUUCCUCUUUCUGCUUCUGCGACAAACAGGCAUUUUACACGCUGCUGGAAGACUUUUUCCCCCUUUCAGUCAGCACAGCUGAACAAUAGAUAAUAACAACCUUUUUCCUUUGUGUGCAUGUUCUGCUCUUUUUCACUGCUUAAAUAAAAAAAAGUACAAAAAUGAAAC
Molecule: long non-coding RNA, 623 nt
Organism: Parus major (Great Tit)
Lineage: Eukaryota; Metazoa; Chordata; Aves; Passeriformes; Paridae
Exons: 3
Source: RefSeq, a predicted model, not a curated record